AUUUACUUAAAAUUUAAAGAAUUUGGCGGUAGUUUAGUCUGUUAGAGGAACCUGUUUUAGUUGAUCGAUAAACCACGUAGGAUCUUGCUUAUUUUACUUUAAUGGCUUGUAUACCAUCAUUAUCAGAUAAUUUUUAAUAUAAAGAUGACAAUUAUUGAAAUAAAUUAUAUCAAAUAAAUUAGAUCAAGGUGCAGCUUAUAAAUAAGUUAAAAUGGGUUACAAUAAAAUUUAUUUAUUACAGAAUAAUUUUUUAAAGUAGAGUUAAAGAAGGAGGAUUUAAUUGUAAUAUAAAUUUAAUAAGUUUAUGUGAUAAAAGCUCUAAAUUAUGUACACAUCGCCC
RNAcentral lists this ribosomal RNA (340 nucleotides) under Barytelphusa cunicularis. Its description in RNAcentral is "partial 12S ribosomal RNA". Lineage: Eukaryota; Metazoa; Arthropoda; Malacostraca; Decapoda; Gecarcinucidae. The record is from RNAcentral.